UCUUUAUUAGUAUAUCGGUUAGUACACGCGCUUGUCAUUAAAGAAAUCAGGUUGAAAUUUCCGCGCGAAAGCUGUGUUCGACUCCCAGACAGAGAG
Molecule: non-coding RNA, 96 nt
Organism: Crucibulum laeve
Lineage: Eukaryota; Fungi; Basidiomycota; Agaricomycetes; Agaricales; Nidulariaceae
Source: the annotation of a GenBank genome assembly